GGUCUGGUAGUUCAGCUGGUUAGAAUACAUGCCUGUCACGCACGGAUGUCGUUAUUGUGGUCCCGUCCAGACCGCCA
RNAcentral lists this transfer RNA (77 nucleotides) under Sphingobacterium bovistauri. Its description in RNAcentral is "tRNA-Asp". Lineage: Bacteria; Pseudomonadati; Bacteroidota; Sphingobacteriia; Sphingobacteriales; Sphingobacteriaceae. The record is from RNAcentral.